This 350-nucleotide ribosomal RNA is filed under the name uncultured bacterium. RNAcentral's name for it is "bacterial SSU rRNA". It matches the Rfam family "Bacterial small subunit ribosomal RNA", at positions 30 to 380 of the family's 1533-position model. The record is from RNAcentral.
AUUGAACGCUGGCGGCAGGCCUAACACAUGCAAGUCGAGCGGUAGAGAGGUGCUUGCAUCUCUUGAGAGCGGCGGACGGGUGAGUAAUGCCUAGGAAUCUGCCUAGUGGUGGGGGAUAACGUUCGGAAACGGACGCUAAUACCGCAUACGUCCUACGGGAGAAAGCGGGGGAUCUUCGGACCUCGCGCCAUUAGAUGAGCCUAGGUCGGAUUAGCUAGUUGGUGAGGUAAUGGCUCACCAAGGCGACGAUCCGUAACUGGUCUGAGAGGAUGAUCAGUCACACUGGAACUGAGACACGGUCCAGACUCCUACGGGAGGCAGCAGUGGGGAAUAUUGGACAAUGGCGAAGA